GUCCCAGAUAGCUCAGUUGGUCAGAGCGUGGUGCUGAUAACACCAAGGUUGCAGGUUUGAUUCCCGUAUGGGACA
Molecule: transfer RNA, 75 nt
Filed under: Podarcis lilfordi (Lilford's wall lizard)
Lineage: Eukaryota; Metazoa; Chordata; Lepidosauria; Squamata; Lacertidae
Description: tRNA.Ile
Rfam family: tRNA
About the family: Transfer RNA (tRNA) molecules are approximately 80 nucleotides in length. Their secondary structure includes four short double-helical elements and three loops (D, anti-codon, and T loops).
Source: RNAcentral